The sequence is an unclassified non-coding RNA, 271 nucleotides long. The stretch from base 1 to 46 matches the Rfam family "Eukaryotic small subunit ribosomal RNA", at positions 1786 to 1831 of the family's 1831-position model.
AAGUCGUAACAAGGUUUCCGUAGGUGAACCUGCGGAAGGAUCAUUAACGAGUAACUGAACAGGUUGUAGCUGGCCUUUCGGGGCAUGUGCACGCCUGGCUCAUCCACUCUUCAACCUCUGUGCACUCAUUGUAGGUCGGUGGAAAGGCAGGUUCUUUUAGAAUCUGCUUGAAAGCCUUCCUAUGUUUUACUACAAACGCUUCAGUUUAAGAAUGUAUCUCUGCGUAUAACGCAUCUAUAUACAACUUUCAGCAACGGAUCUCUUGGCUCUC